GUGAGCAACCUGCCCCUGACUCUGGGAUAAGCGCUGGAAACGGCGUCUAAUACUGGAUAUGUGACGUGACCGCAUGGUCUGCGUCUGGAAAGAAUUUCGGUUGGGGAUGGGCUCGCGGCCUAUCAGCUUGUUGGUGAGGUAAUGGCUCACCAAGGCGUCGACGGGUAGCCGGCCUGAGAGGGUGACCGGCCACACUGGGACUGAGACACGGCCCAGACUCCUACGGGAGGCAGCAGUGGGGAAUAUUGCACAAUGGGCGCAAGCCUGAUGCAGCAACGCCGCGUGAGGGACGACGGCCUUCGGGUUGUAAACCUCUUUUAGCAGGGAAGAAGCGAAAGUGACGGUACCUGCAGAAAAAGCGCCGGCUAACUACGUGCCAGCAGCCGCGGUAAUACGUAGGGCGCAAGCGUUAUCCGGAAUUAUUGGGCGUAAAGAGCUCGUAGGCGGUUUGUCGCGUCUGCUGUGAAAUCCGGAGGCUCAACCUCCGGCCUGCAGUGGGUACGGGCAGACUAGAGUGCGGUAGGGGAGAUUGGAAUUCCUGGUGUAGCGGUGGAAUGCGCAGAUAUCAGGAGGAACACCGAUGGCGAAGGCAGAUCUCUGGGCCGUAACUGACGCUGAGGAGCGAAAGGGUGGGGAGCAAACAGGCUUAGAUACCCUGGUAGUCCACCCCGUAAACGUUGGGAACUAGUUGUGGGGUCCAUUCCACGGAUUCCGUGACGCAGCUAACGCAUUAAGUUCCCCGCCUGGGGAGUACGGCCGCAAGGCUAAAACUCAAAGGAAUUGACGGGGACCCGCACAAGCGGCGGAGCAUGCGGAUUAAUUCGAUGCAACGCGAAGAACCUUACCAAGGCUUGACAUAUACGAGAACGGGCCAGAAAUGGUCAACUCUUUGGACACUCGUAAACAGGUGGUGCAUGGUUGUCGUCAGCUCGUGUCGUGAGAUGUUGGGUUAAGUCCCGCAACGAGCGCAACCCUCGUUCUAUGUUGCCAGCACGUAAUGGUGGGAACUCAUGGGAUACUGCCGGGGUCAACUCGGAGGAAGGUGGGGAUGACGUCAAAUCAUCAUGCCCCUUAUGUCUUGGGCUUCACGCAUGCUACAAUGGCCGGUACAAAGGGCUGCAAUACCGCGAGGUGGAGCGAAUCCCAAAAAGCCGGUCCCAGUUCGGAUUGAGGUCUGCAACUCGACCUCAUGAAGUCGGAGUCGCUAGUAAUCGCAGAUCAGCAACGCUGCGGUGAAUACGUUCCCGGGUCUUGUA
RNAcentral lists this ribosomal RNA (1256 nucleotides) under Microbacterium sp. M63-2. RNAcentral's name for it is "bacterial SSU rRNA". It matches the Rfam family "Bacterial small subunit ribosomal RNA", at positions 117 to 1385 of the family's 1533-position model. The record is from RNAcentral. Lineage: Bacteria; Bacillati; Actinomycetota; Actinomycetes; Micrococcales; Microbacteriaceae.